Molecule: transfer RNA, 85 nt
Organism: Felis catus (domestic cat)
Lineage: Eukaryota; Metazoa; Chordata; Mammalia; Carnivora; Felidae
Rfam family: tRNA
About the family: Transfer RNA (tRNA) molecules are approximately 80 nucleotides in length. Their secondary structure includes four short double-helical elements and three loops (D, anti-codon, and T loops). Further hydrogen bonds mediate the characteristic L-shaped molecular structure. tRNAs have two regions of fundamental functional importance: the anti-codon, which is responsible for specific mRNA codon recognition, and the 3' end, to which the tRNAs corresponding amino acid is attached (by aminoacyl-tRNA synthetases). tRNAs cope with the degeneracy of the genetic code in two manners: having more than one tRNA (with a specific anti-codon) for a particular amino acid; and 'wobble' base-pairing, i.e. permitting non-standard base-pairing at the 3rd anti-codon position.
Source: Rfam
GCCUGAGUGGCUCAGUUGGUUGAGCCACUGACUUCGGCUCAGGUCGUGAUCUCAUGGUUUGUGAGUUCGAGCCCCGCAUCGGGCU